RNAcentral lists this ribosomal RNA (160 nucleotides) under uncultured bacterium. RNAcentral's name for it is "partial 16S ribosomal RNA". It matches the Rfam family "Bacterial small subunit ribosomal RNA", at positions 355 to 507 of the family's 1533-position model. The record is from RNAcentral. RNAcentral also lists the same sequence under 1 other name.
UAGGGAAUCUUCCACAAUGGACGAAAGUCUGAUGGAGCAACGCCGCGUGAGUGAAGAAGGGUUUCGGCUCGUAAAACUCUGUUGUUAAAGAAGAACAUAUCUGAGAGUAACUGUUCAGGUAUUGACGGUAUUUAACCAGAAAGCCACGGCUAACUACGUG